RNAcentral lists this long non-coding RNA (414 nucleotides) under Trifolium pratense (red clover). Its description in RNAcentral is "long non-coding RNA (TPRA_LNC001315)". The record is from RNAcentral. Lineage: Eukaryota; Viridiplantae; Streptophyta; Magnoliopsida; Fabales; Fabaceae.
GAGGAUCGUAAAUUGGCGAAAUUGAUGGGAUAAAAACACACACACAUAUAUAUUUCAAGUGAGAGAGAUUUUAAAAUGAGAGGGUGAGAGGGUUAAAUCUCAACCCUUAGAUCAAGUUAAAUGCUUACAAUUAUUUACACAUGCACACACACAAUUAUUCAAAGAUCACUUUUCCAGUUCUUCAUCUCUCUCGCUUUAUCUUCUUCUCCGGCGCCUUUCUCCCUGGAAUUCUCAACUCAACCAGAAAAAAACUAAAGUUCUUGAAAGAUUUUAUGUUGAUUACAAGGGAAUUUAGUUUUCUCAAAACUCAAUCCUCUAUAGUCUCAAAUCCAAUCCCCUCCCUUUAAAAACUUGGAAGUGGUGAAGGAAGACUGGAACACGCUUUUUCUCCCUUUUUCUCGUGUCCUUUGAUUU